UACGUAGGGGGCGAGCGUUGUCCGGAAUUAUUGGGCGUAAAGGGCUCGUAGGCGGCCCGGUAAGUCGGCAGUGAAAUCCCAGGGCUCAACCCUGGAACUGCUGUCGAUACUGUCGGGCUUGAGGAAGGUAGAGGAGAGUGGAAUUCCCGGUGUAGCGGUGGAAUGCGCAGAUAUCGGGAGGAACACCGAUAGCGAAGGCAGCUCUCUGGGCCUUACCUGACGCUGAGGAGCGAAAGCGUGGGUAGCAAACAGG
Molecule: ribosomal RNA, 253 nt
Filed under: uncultured bacterium
Lineage: Bacteria
Description: partial 16S ribosomal RNA
Rfam family: Bacterial small subunit ribosomal RNA
Source: RNAcentral